CCUCUGUGGAGUCUUUCCUGCAAACCUGGAUCGUUGGAUACAGAUUAUCCCUGGAUUGCUGCAUCUUCAGGAACUGAAGCCAGUGGGGCCCACAUCUCCGACUGUGCCAUGGAGCUUGCUUUUUCAGCACCAGCCCUGUGAAACUAACACAGAACAGGAUUACAGAGCUGAGCAAGUGAAGAAGGAGUCAGAGGACUGGACUCUCCAUUUACCAGCACCACAAAGAUGAUAAAACUCUACAGAAACCAGAGCCACUGUGGUUUCUGACUACCAUGUUGUUUUCUGAGCGGUAAUCCCAACCCAACUAGAAACCCUUGAUGGCAUGCCUGUGGUUUUCACAAAGAGCUGCCCCCCAUCCCAAGAGAUGUGUGCCCUGCAGGCCUGCGGCUGGCCACAUGAGAUGCAGCAUGCUUAACGCCUGGCGCUGCUGGUGGCUGUCACCCCUCUAACUCCUCCCAGGAAGGCACCCAGGGAGUCUCUCUCACACAUAUUGAUCAACCACAGGCAUGAGAUAACCAAAAAUGCAAAUAUUGCCCCAGUGUGGUCUUAAGUCAAUAUUUUGAGCUGCUGCCUGGCCUGUUUGAUGACAGCCAGAGGUUGGAGGUCACCUACCUGUUGAUGGUGGCACUGGGAGUACAGGAGGCAGGAUCAGCAAUCAUCCAUGCUACUGUUCAACUGGGUUUGUUUGCUGAUCGAGUCUGUCAGCUACAAAAACUCAUUCCGGUCUCUCCUCUGGGAGCUUUCUGCUGAUACAGAAAGAAGGGACGUAGAAAACCCCAGUUCUUCUUACCAACAGCUCCUAUCUUUAGUUCUUCUGAAAUGUCUUUUGCCCUUCUUGAAAACUUCUGGGAGAUAACGGGAAUAAAUCCAGAGGGUUUGUCACUGAACCCAAAAGGUAGUAGGAUUUGGUGCUAAACAGAACAGCUUGUGUCCACUACAUCGGAGAGAGAGGCUAUUUGCGUAAAGCUUUGCAAAGUCUGUGCUGCUGCUCUGCUCCGCAAAGGAAGCCUGGCAUCUAGUGGACGUUUUGCUGUUGCAUCACUUUCAUCUUUCUGCUUAGCAGAGCUGACAGCUAGCUACCUAUAUAAAACCUAUACAGAAUUGAGCACCGAUGUCCAAUUCAUGCACACGACUGCAAGUUGUUGUGAGGUGACAAAUUCCUAACUAUUGUUAAAUGUUCGUUCUGAGUCUUUCAUCUGUCUGGCUGCCACUUGGAAAAAUACAUUGGAGCUGCUAUUUUAAAUAGCUCUUCUAUGGGACUUGCUUUUCUGCAAUACAUUGUUUUCAAUGUUUUGUUUUGUUCUGUUCUGUUUCCCCACACUGAAUACAAACCUGUGGGGGGAAAAAUCUUAUUUACAGCGAAAUUGGUCUGAAUACCUACUCAGAAUGAGAGAAUACAAGAUAGAG
Molecule: long non-coding RNA, 1407 nt
Organism: Lagopus muta (rock ptarmigan)
Lineage: Eukaryota; Metazoa; Chordata; Aves; Galliformes; Phasianidae
Exons: 3
Source: RefSeq, a predicted model, not a curated record